Long non-coding RNA from Bolinopsis microptera, 1780 nucleotides. RefSeq lists it as uncharacterized. The transcript has 4 exons. The record is from RefSeq and is a predicted model, not a curated record. Lineage: Eukaryota; Metazoa; Ctenophora; Tentaculata; Lobata; Bolinopsidae.
UUUCUUUAGAAAAACUGAAAAGAUAUGGCAAAGCAGUCCUUGCUGACUACUGCAGCGGUACUUUACCUUGUCUUAUUAAAUGCGUUUGCAGAAGUGCUACUUGAUGAAAACAGUACUGAGUCCUCUGAUAAGCAUGAGCAAUACCUAAAAAAUCUAAAGUUGGCAUACACAGUGUUAGCUAUUGCCUGCGGAGUAUUCUUCAUCUCGGCAGUGCCCUACUUGUUUGGUUUCAGAAGGGAAGGCGUCGGAGCUGAUACUCAUGCUUCUGGGUGUCAGUCAGGAAUUGGGAACGUAGUUGCAGGGUCCCUGUUUGCGUUGUGUCAGUGCUUUGGUGCAGUGACCUGUUUUGGGAAUAUCUUUUCAGUCGUUCUGUUUGUGGCCACAGGAGUUUCGAGCUUAGUUGUUUUGAUAAUUUAUCAUAUAUCAAAAGCGUAAGUCGAUUCGGAAAUUAUUAUUUCUUUUGUGUGAUUUUAAUCAAUUAAAUGUAAAUACAUAUUAUAUAAUAUUCACUGACACAUAGAUUCUGAAGGAGAUGUCUAAGUUCUUAGUUGAGAUAAAUAAACGACGUUUCCCUAUAGAAAGACAGAAGGAACCACUGAACUGUUGAUUUUUGGUUACCAUUUCAUAAUCAUUCAUAUCGUAGCACAAUGCACAUCAUUCACAUCAUUCACAUCAUUCACAUCAUUUACAUCAUUUACAUCAUUCACAUCAUUCACAUCAUUUACAUCAUUCACAUCAUUCACAUGAUUCACAUCAUUCACAUCAUUCACAUCAUUCACAUCAUUCACAUCAUUCUCAUGAUCAUUCACAUGAUCAUUCACAUGAUCAUUCACAUCAUUCACAUCAUUCACAUCAUUCACAUCAUUCACAUCAUUCAUAUUAUCAUAUCAUGGUAAUUUUGUGAUUGGGUUAAAUUAUUAUAUUCUUACUUGUUUCUUUUUCGAUAAAGAUGUGACGAAGUUAAACUUUAAUGAUUUUUCAAUUUAAUUUUUCAAUGUAAUUUGAGAAUAUUUUUGCAUAUUAUUUAUUUUCCCAUUGAUGUAUAGUCAAGACGUGAGUGUUAGGGCUCUCAUUGACGAAUUUAUGUUUAAUCCUGUUUAAUCCUGUUUAAUCCUGUUUAUAUCAAAGGAUCAAAGGUAAGGUAUUACAUAUAAAUACUUACUUUUAUACUUUGAUGAGGUUUAGCCAAAAGGUUAUCGUACUUCGUGUAGACUGCGUGACUUCUCAUCUUAGGUCUAGAUAUCUUGGACUUUGUGGUGUUUCCACAGGGCGGAACACUAACAGUAUUCAAGCCGGCUUCCUACCGUCGACUUGAACAGUAGGAUUAUAAUGAUCUUUGGGGGCAUUAAGAGAUUAGGUUAGGCCGUUUAUAAGCCGUAUAGUGGCCAAACCUAAUUUCCCCAAUUUCCCGACUUAUCUUUAGAGGUUUCCAGGACGCAAUACGCCAUUUUCUUGGGGUCAUUGGCGGUUAUGUUGAUGCGAGUGAUCCAUUUAAAAUCAUAUGUGGGAAUUGGGAUUCACCCCCUACGAGGACUGGACGAAUUUUCUAACUCAAACUAAAUCAUCGAGAAAUAACACUGAUGUAAAAUGUGGGAAAUGUGUAUGGUCUACAGUCAACUUCCAGUUCCUUCCUGUUAUACAUUCAGUGUAUAGAUAUUUGACGGUGUGCUCGAUGGGAAUACUGGAAAACUUCUUUUAUAACAAAGUUUAUUUAACAUUUUUGUGAGAUCUUAAAAUUAAUUUCAGAUAAGUUGUCAUUAUCGCAUCAGAAUUUUAUAAC